AAAAAUAUGUAAUGUUGUGAACUCUGGCCGCAGCGGCGCAAGAAAAAGGAGAAUUACGGGAAGCACUCACAACAGCUUUCAGCAGAAUUUCCUCACCAAUGUGGUAGUAGUGCAAUCUCAAGAUGAUGGGCCGAGGAAGAUGACUUUGUUUGGGACGCUGGCGAUUCACUCUAUGUGCUCGAUCGAUGAGUGGCUUCUCCUCGAGAGAUAGGGCCUCCGCCAACAGGUGUGAACCAACUCAGUCAUCUUGGGUCCCUCUGUGCCUUCUGGUAUUCCUGCAGUUCUUAAAUUAUUCCUCCUGGAGUGCCUCAAGAGCUCCACAUCUCUCAUCUAACUUCUUUACCUCCGCAGACAAACGCUCCACAGUGGCCUGGAGAGUGGCGAUGGUGUCAGAGUGGUUCGAGGCACAGUCCUGCAGUUCAGUCAAAGUGUUAUCAUGCCUGGCCACAUCGCUUUUUAUGUCCGAAAUUGAGGGCUGGAUGCUCUGGUUCAAGGAUGAUAUCUCGCCUCCUAUGGUGGUAGAAAUCUCUAAUAUGCAAGUGUCCAGUGCUAGUUAGUUAGUUCUAGUUCUAGUGGUUAGUGGGGCUUUAUUUGAUGAUUCUAGUGUGUGUUACAUUGUUGUCAUAUUGUUGAGUCGCAGAGCUGCACAGUGUUACAGUUUCUGUAGAGUCUGGUAUAAGGAACUCAGAUCCCUCUGUGAAUAAUGUUCACUGAAACUGAUCUGUAGUUAAUGAACUAGUCAGGAUUUACACUAGAGAAUGUUUCUGCCAUUACAUGGCCUGUAUUUGUAGAGCGCUUUACUCGUCCCUAAGGACCCCAAAGUGCUUUACACAUCCAGUCAUCCACCCAUUCACACACUGGUGAUGGCAAGCUUGUAGCCACAGCCACCCUGGGGCGCACCGACAGAGGCGAGGCUGCCGGACACUGGUGCCACCGGGCCCUCUGACCACCACCAGUAGGCAACGGGUGAAGUGUCUCAUUCAAGGACACAACGACCGAGACUGUCCAAGCCGGGGCUCGAACCGGCAACCUUCCGAUUACAAGACGAGCUGCCAACUCUUGAGCCACGAUCGCCCCACAUAUUGUUGUCUUUUGUUGCAGACACCAAGUGUUGAGAUCCUGUCUCAACCUCCUACAUUCUUCCAGCAGGUUACACAUUAUUUUUUGUAUUUGGAAUCAAAUAUAUGUGUCAGUUGGGCCUAGUGCAGGGGUCAGCAACCUUUAACACCCAAAGAGCCUUUUGGACCCGGUUUCCACGCAAAGGGUCAGGGUUCGGGAAAACACUGGGAGCCGCAAAUACUUUGUGACAUCUAAAAUGAAGAUAACACUGUGUAUAUUGUUUUUACCUUUAUGCUUUGUGUGAACAACUACAGUGUGUUGCUUAUGAAAUCCAUCAAGUGCUACAGAGAAAAUUACAUUUGAUUUAUGUAAUGAACACAUUUUGAGCUCUUAAAGAAAUAUAACAAAGGAAAGCUGAACUACAAUGAUCCAUGUAGCAAACACAAACUGUUAUAUCGCCUUUGGGCUUUUGGAGCCUUGACCUGACUUUUAAAAAAAGCGCGUUCAUGCAAACAUCGUCGGGUCUGCCGUGAUAUGUUUACAACGGGACUUCUGCUCCUGAACCUCUGCGCACAGCGUCUGCAGGUAAGGUAACUUUAUUUAUACCCAAAGGCAAGGUAAAUUUGCUUUACAGAAAAAUGACAGCAUUUGACAUCCCUUUAAAAACACACAUACCUAGUAAAUAUAUAAAGCUCACUGUGACACAUACUUUAAUAUUUCGAAUCAAAAACAGUUCUUAUUUAAUUCAGUGACAGCAACGGGGACAAAGCUAUUUUUAUAACGCUUUAUCCUACAUCUCGGAAAUAGAAACCUCCGUCCUGAGGGAAGAAGCUGAAAUUCACCCCUUAGAGGAUGGGAACCAGGGGCGGAGCGUGGGGGUGGCUUACUGGGCUUAAGCCCGGGUUGUUUUGUCAGAAGCCCGGGGUCUUUUGGAGUGUAAUUUUUUCAUAGUUAGAUGCCUGGCUGACAACUGUAUAAAACAAAAAGUACACACAAUAUUCGAAGCACAUAGUGCACACUGUGGGGAUUUACGACUGUGCGUGAAUCCCCCCCUGAUAUUGGUAUGAUCCGAGCUCAGGCACUAAGCGACUGAGCGAGGGGGCGGGGCAGCUGCUUCCUGUGAGUGCGCUGUUAGAGAAACGGAGUCAGCCAUACUAAGGAGAGCUUAAGUUUGAGCAGGUACCAAAGCAAAUCAUUCGUACCGUACAAAUAAUGUAAAUAUGACGGUGCAUCACGAAAGAUUGAUAUCAAACUGAUCACUUGACCAAUAUUACGUUACUUGCUCUUCAAGUGAAUCAACAAAUGGCGAAAUGAAAAGCCGAACAAAUGCUAUUUUUUAGAGAGUCUUAGCUUACGUGUGUUUAUUUCAUAUUUUCAGUUGUUACCCUCCCCGACUAAAUCGGUUUCAGUUAUGCACUGAAAUAUAAGAAUGGACAUUAGAGGCUUCUUUCAAAGAAAAAACUCAGAUAUGUUCAGCUGGAGAUAAGACUCCUCCCACCACUGAACAAAGUCAUCAAUGACUGGGCCGUGAGAGUGAAUAAUAAGGGCGAUAGGACGCACCCUCGAGGAGAACCUGUGGAGGAGAACACUGGGUCAGACAGAACCCCAUUUAUUCUCACUCUGUGUGACCUGUCAGUUAGAAAAUCUAAAAUCCAGCCCACCAGGUUUUUCCUGAUUUCAAACUGUUCUAAAAGUCUCUUAAUUAAAAUAUGGGGCUGUAUUGUAUUAAAAGCCGAAGAAAAAUCAAUGAAAAGAAGUCUUGCAAAAGUCCCUUUACUCUCUACAUGUUUAAGAAUCAGAUUUAGUAAAGUCAAAAGUGCGUCCUCCACUCCUCUGUUGGGCCUGUAUGCAAACUGCAUUGGAUCCAGCUGACCUUCAGUCUCUUCAUAAUCACAUUUCUGAGGAUUUUUUCAAAGACUUUCAUGACAACUGAAGUGAGGCAACAGGCCUGAAGUCGUUUAGAUUUAGGGACAGGAACCACGACUGCUUCUUUGCAAAGAGAGGGCACAUGUUGUGUUUGCAAGGAUUUGUUAAAAAUAACCUGAAAUAUAGGACUGAGUUCAUCAGCACAAGAUUUAAUUAGGCGGCCACUAAUAUUAUCAGGACCUGGCUCUUGUUCACAUUGACUGUAUGAAAGGCCUUUUUAACAUCGCUGAGUUCAAUGAUAAAGUGCUGAGUAUCUCUCAGUUUCUGUUUCACUUCCCAAAUAUCCUCGCUGAAAUCAGAAGAACUAAAACGAGCAUAAAACAUGUUUAAAGCGUUUGCAAAUUGUUUGAUUUUUUCUCUCUUCCCCCCCUUCUCACCGUCUCUUCUCCCCUUUGGUUUUCUUUCUUUCUCUCCCUCUCUUUCUUUCAUUCUUUCCCCCUGUCCUAUCCCCCAGUCAUGUCUGUCCCGUUUGCAACUGAAAAUAAAAUAAAUUCAUAAUUAUAAAUAAAGGUCAAUCAAAUGGACCAAUAUGGCAAGGCCAUGAUGAUUCACUUGGUAAAAUAAAUCCGCUUGGCAUCUUUCUUGGCCUCAAGACAACAAUUCUGAUGGCUAUAGAUCCAAAUGGGACAAAAAAAAACAAAAAACAAAAAACACUGAAGUGAUGCUAACGGCUGUCGUUAGGCUCACUGACAGCAGUGCUGAUGUGUUCAUGUCAAACACUGGCUCAGGUCAGACUCCUUCAUCCUUCUCCAGCGUGAGGCCGCCCUCAGAUCCACGGGAGCUCUGACCUUUGACCUCCUGACCCUAAUCAUUUUAGUCUCUUUGCGUCUUUAAAUGCAAAUCCAUCCAAACUGUAGCCGAGCAAAAGAAGCUGGAAGCUGUUCUAAGAAUGAUGUUCAUACCAGAGUUUGUGUUUCCAGCUCAGACGUGUUAAACGCUGCUGCUACAUUUGUCAUUUCCUGCUUUCACUUCCAUCCAUGUCAAAAUGCUGAACUCAUCUUAUCUCUUUAAUGCAGUAAAACAGGAGCUGUAAGUCUGACAUUUAUUUACUGUCAUCACAAACACACACAGCUGGAUUAGCACCCAACUUUGAUUAAACAUUUAUUUAGCAUUGAGAUGUCAAUCUUGACCAUAAGUCAUCCCCUGCUCCUGGUCUCCCGAGGCAGAUGGGUCCAGGGUGGC
This is a long non-coding RNA of Astatotilapia calliptera (eastern happy), 4167 nucleotides long. The record is from Ensembl. NCBI's taxonomy places the organism in Eukaryota, Metazoa, Chordata, Actinopteri, Cichliformes, Cichlidae.